UGGGGAAUAUUGCACAAUGGGCGGAAGCCUGAUGCAGCAACGCCGCGUGCGGGAUGACGGCCUUCGGGUUGUAAACCGCUUUCGCCUGUGACGAAGCGUGAGUGACGGUAAUGGGUAAAGAAGCACCGGCUAGCUACGUGCCAGCAGCCGCGGUGAUACGUAGGGUGCGAGCGUUGUCCGGAUUUAUUGGGCGUAAAGGGCUCGUAGGUGGUUGAUCGCGUCGGAAGUGUAAUCUUGGGGCUUAACCCUGAGCGUGCUUUCGAUACGGGUUGACUUGAGGAAGGUAGGGGAGAAUGGAAUUCCUGGUGGAGCGGUGGAAUGCGCAGAUAUCAGGAGGAACACCAGUGGCGAAGGCGGUUCUCUGGGCCUUUCCUGACGCUGAGGAGCGAAAGCGUGGGGAGCGAACAGGCUUAGAUACCCUGGUAGUCCACGCUGUAAACGGUGGGUACUAGGUGUGGGGUCCAUUCCACGGGUUCCGUGCCGUAGCUAACGCUUUAAGUACCCCGCCUGGGGAGUACGGCCGCAAGGCUA
Molecule: ribosomal RNA, 531 nt
Filed under: uncultured bacterium
Lineage: Bacteria
Description: bacterial SSU rRNA
Rfam family: Bacterial small subunit ribosomal RNA
Source: RNAcentral